Molecule: ribosomal RNA, 390 nt
Filed under: uncultured Anaerolineaceae bacterium
Lineage: Bacteria; Bacillati; Chloroflexota; Anaerolineae; Anaerolineales; Anaerolineaceae
Description: bacterial SSU rRNA
Rfam family: Bacterial small subunit ribosomal RNA
Source: RNAcentral
AGGCUCGACAUGUUGGUAGUAGGGAGUCCGAAAGGUGACGACCUUCGGGAGCCUUCACAGGUGCUGCAUGGCUGUCGUCAGCUCGUGUCGUGAGAUGUCCGGUUAAGUCCGGUAACGAGCGCAACCCUCGCUGUGUGUUAUAUGUGUCACACGGGACUGCCGGUAUCAAGCCGGAGGAAGGUGGGGAUGACGUCAAGUCAGCAUGGCCUUUAUGUCUGGGGCUACACACACGCUACAAUGGCCAGUACAAUAGGUUGCAAGACCGCGAGGUGGAGCCAAUCCUUAAAGCUGGUCUCAGUUCGGAUUGCAGGCUGCAACUCGCCUGCAUGAAGUCGGAGUUGCUAGUAACCGCGCGUCAGCUAUAGUGCGGUGAAUACGUUCCCGGGCCUU